This 253-nucleotide ribosomal RNA is filed under the name uncultured bacterium. RNAcentral describes it as "partial 16S ribosomal RNA". It matches the Rfam family "Bacterial small subunit ribosomal RNA", at positions 524 to 776 of the family's 1533-position model. The record is from RNAcentral.
CACGUAGGGCGCGAGCGUUGUCCGGAAUUAUUGGGCGUAAAGAGCUCGUAGGCGGCCUGUUGCGUCCGCUGUGAAAGCCCGGGGCUUAACUCCGGGUCUGCAUUCGAUACGGGUCUGCUGGGGUCCGGCAGGGGAGACUGGAAUUCCUGGUGUAGCGGUGAAAUGCGCAGAGAUCCGGAGGAACACCAAAGGCGAAGGCAGUGUCCUGGGGAGUACCUGACGCUCAGGUGCGAAAGCCAGGGGAGCGAACGGG